This 463-nucleotide ribosomal RNA is filed under the name uncultured bacterium. Its description in RNAcentral is "bacterial SSU rRNA". It matches the Rfam family "Bacterial small subunit ribosomal RNA", at positions 28 to 507 of the family's 1533-position model. The record is from RNAcentral.
GAUGAACGCUGGCGGUAUGCCUAACACAUGCAAGUCGUACGAGAGUUUUUAACUCUAGUGGCGGACGGGUGAGUAAACACGUGAGAAUUUGCCUUUAGGAGGGGGACAACAAUCGGAAACGAAUGCUAAUACCCCAUAUGCUUUCGAGUGAAAUGGAUUUAUCCGCCUAGAGAGAAGCUCGCGGCUGAUUAGCUUGUUGGUAAGGUAAGAGCUUACCAAGGCGACGAUCAGUAUCUGGUUUGAGAGGACGAUCAGACACACUGGAACUGAGACACGGUCCAGACUCCUACGGGAGGCAGCAGUGGGGAAUUUUGGACAAUGGGCGAAAGCCUGAUCCAGCAAUGCCGCGUGCAGGAAGAAAGGCCUUCGGGUUGUAAACUGCUUUUGUACGGAACGAAACGGUCUGCCCUAAUACGGUGGGCUAAUGACGGUACCGUAAGAAUAAGCACCGGCUAACUACGUG